Molecule: ribosomal RNA, 421 nt
Filed under: uncultured bacterium
Lineage: Bacteria
Description: bacterial SSU rRNA
Rfam family: Bacterial small subunit ribosomal RNA
Source: RNAcentral
UAAGGAAUAUUGGUCAAUGGACGCAAGUCUGAACCAGCCAUGCCGCGUGAAGGAUGAAGGUCCUCUGGAUUGUAAACUUCUUUUAUCUGGGACGAAAACGGGAUUUUUAUCUCAAUUGACGGUACCAGAGGAAUAAGCACCGGCUAACCCCGUGCCAGCAGCCGCGGUAAUACGGGGGGUGCGAGCGUUAUCCGGAUUUACUGGGUUUAAAGGGUGCGUAGGUGGGCUUAUAAGUCAGUGGUGAAAUCUCCGAGCUUAACUUGGAAACUGCCGUUGAUACUAUAGGUCUUGAAUUAUCUGGAGGUAAGCGGAAUAUGUCAUGUAGCGGUGAAAUGCUUAGAUAUGACAUAGAACACCAAUUGCGAAGGCAGCUUACUACAUAUAAAUUGACGCUGAGGCACGAAAGCGUGGGGAUCAAACA